GCCCUUGUAGCUCAACGGUAGAGCGCGCGGCUCAUAAUCGCUCGGUUACAGGUUCGAAUCCUGUCGAGGGCA
RNAcentral lists this transfer RNA (72 nucleotides) under Acidobacteriota bacterium. Its description in RNAcentral is "tRNA-Ile". It matches the Rfam family "tRNA". From Rfam's summary of the family: Transfer RNA (tRNA) molecules are approximately 80 nucleotides in length. RNAcentral also lists the same sequence under 3 other names. The record is from RNAcentral. Lineage: Bacteria; Pseudomonadati; Acidobacteriota.